AUCAGUAAAGGCACUACCAAGAGCCGCGCCUAUCAGCCUUAUUACAAUAAUGGACUGGUCCUUUGGCCCAUAGUCCAUCCAUCAGCCCUGUGGAGCCACUGCAUAAUUCAUCUGAUAACUAAUUUUUCUGGGAAACUACGAAUUUCUACAAACAUCUGUAAAACACAAAGUGAAAUCAUCUCCCCAGUAGAGCAAUGACAUUUUCUGACCCCCUCCAUAAUGAUGGACCCAUCCAGAGGAGUCAUGAGCAGUUACAUGAUUGCAUAACUCCUGGGUGCCUGACAAUUGCUUACCUACAAGGCACACACAGUACAAGUAUGAGACUGCCAACAUAUCUCUUGCUGUGAAUUCACUUGCAUAUUGAGGCCAUGCACUGCACCUAC
Long non-coding RNA from Alosa sapidissima (American shad), 383 nucleotides. RefSeq lists it as uncharacterized. NCBI's taxonomy places the organism in Eukaryota, Metazoa, Chordata, Actinopteri, Clupeiformes, Clupeidae. The record is from RefSeq and is a predicted model, not a curated record. The transcript is spliced from 3 exons.